GACAGAGGCCUCAAGCGUUAGGCGGAAUCACUGGGCUUAAAGCGUGUGUAGGCGGGUCGUUAAGUACCUUGUCGAAAUCCCACGGCUCACCCGUGGAACUGCUGGGUAUACUGGCGAUCGUUGGGCCAACUAGGGGCAACUGGAACAAGCGGUGGAGCGGUGAAAUGCGUAGAUAUCGCUUGGAACGCCAAAGGUGGAAAACAGGUUGCUGGGGUUGUGCCGAC
RNAcentral lists this ribosomal RNA (224 nucleotides) under uncultured bacterium. RNAcentral describes it as "partial 16S ribosomal RNA". It matches the Rfam family "Bacterial small subunit ribosomal RNA", at positions 524 to 744 of the family's 1533-position model. The record is from RNAcentral.